CGGGGCAUAGCGCAGCCUGGUAGCGCACUUGCAUGGGGUGCAAGGGGUCGCAGGUUCAAAUCCUGCUGUCCCGA
Molecule: non-coding RNA, 74 nt
Organism: Gammaproteobacteria bacterium
Lineage: Bacteria; Pseudomonadati; Pseudomonadota; Gammaproteobacteria
Source: Rfam